GCGUGAGAAAGCCGACGCCAGCGCGGCGUUCCUCCGGUCUCCGCGGGAGCCUGAAAAUUGAGGUCACAAAUCCAGUAUGAAAACUCUGACAGCUGUCAGGAAGGAGGUUAUUGAAUUCAUUGGAGAAUGAGUGCUGUCCCAAACUUGGAACCAAGAAAUUGAUACCUGCUUGUGCGGAAACUCUGCAGUCCCUGUCUGAAAAGCUUCACCUCUUGCUUACUAAGGAACAGAGUGUGAUGAAUUACAACAGCAAAACCAGGAUGGCGGACAUCCCAUUCUCACACAAAUGCUUUGUACACUGCGGGUCCCGAUUGGCAGUGUUGGCCUGGAGAUGAAGUUCUCGAUGGCUGUGUAUGAGAGAGAAGAGUGGAGCAAGGUUGGAGCAAGAGACUGGAAGCCAGUCCAUCACCUGUUUCUCGGGGACCUCACUUCACCUCUUUAAGUUUCAGUGUCUCCGUCUGUUGGUGGAGAGUGACACACAGCACCUUCACUCUCAGAGUCAUAAAUGUCAUUGUAAAGCACGGGAGGUGCUAGCGAGGCCUGCAAGACCCCAUGGUUCCCUUAAUGUAGCAAA
Molecule: long non-coding RNA, 574 nt
Organism: Myotis daubentonii (Daubenton's bat)
Lineage: Eukaryota; Metazoa; Chordata; Mammalia; Chiroptera; Vespertilionidae
Source: RefSeq, a predicted model, not a curated record